GUGCCAGCCGCCGCGGUAACACCGGCAGCUCGAGUGGUGACCGCUUUUAUUGGGCCUAAAGCGUUCGUAGCCGGUCCAGUAAGUCUUUGGGCAAAUCUUCUCGCUCAACGAAAAGAAUUCCGAAAAUACUGCUGGACUUGGGGCCGAGAGAGGUUAGAGGUACUCCUGGGGUAGGGGUGAAAUCCUAUAAUCCUGGGGGGACCGCCAGUGGCGAAGGCGUCUAACCAGAGCGGACCCGACGGUGAGGGACGAAAGCCAGGGGCGCGAACGGGAUUAGAUACCCCGGUAGUCC
Molecule: ribosomal RNA, 292 nt
Filed under: uncultured prokaryote
Description: partial 16S ribosomal RNA
Rfam family: Archaeal small subunit ribosomal RNA
Source: RNAcentral